GAAAAGAGAAACCCGGACUUAGACCAAUGCAAGAACAAAGUACUCGACUAAUCGACUAGUUUUGUCGUUUUUACGUCCGAGAGAAUCAAAGCUAACUCGGACUCAGGGAUCGUUAGGAAACGUCAUCACACUAUCGAUCAUCUCGAUGGUACUUUUGAAGCUUUGUAUAUAUGGUAUAUGGCAUGUAUAGGCUAGUGUCAUUUUGGUAUAUUUUGAGUCAUAAUAUUAACCAUGAGAUUUGGCUUGUAAAUGUUAAUGUGUAUGGCCAUUUAAGUUGGCUUGAAUUAUGUGUUUGAUAGAUGUUAUAUGUGAUGUAUAUAAGUUAUAAUGUGUUUUGGGAUGUUUGCCAUGGUUGUUAUGGCUAAGUGAUUAAUCAUUUGGAUAGUUAUUAGUUGAUGUAUUAAUGCUUGAGGAAUGGUAAAUUUUGGUAUGAUUUAUGGA
Gossypium arboreum is the source of this 441-nucleotide long non-coding RNA. RefSeq lists it as uncharacterized. NCBI's taxonomy places the organism in Eukaryota, Viridiplantae, Streptophyta, Magnoliopsida, Malvales, Malvaceae. The transcript has 2 exons. The record is from RefSeq and is a predicted model, not a curated record.